CUGAUCCAGCAAUGCCGCGUGAGUGAUGAAGGUCUUCGGAUUGUAAAGCUCUUUCGACGGGGAAGAUAAUGACGGUACCCGUAGAAGAAGCCCCGGCUAACUUCGUGCCAGCAGCCGCGGUAAUACGAAGGGGGCUAGCGUUGUUCGGAUUUACUGGGCGUAAAGCGUGCGUAGGCGGCUUGUCAAGUCAGAAGUGAAAGCCCGGGGCUCAACUCCGGAACUGCUUUUGAGACUGGCAGGCUUGAGUUCGGGAGAGGGUAGUGGAAUUCCCAGUGUAGAGGUGAAAUUCGUAGAUAUUGGGAAGAACACCGGUGGCGAAGGCGGCUGCCUGGCCCGAAACUGACGCUGAGGCACGAAAGCGUGGGGAGCAAACAGGAUUAGAUACCCUGGUAGUCCACGCCGUAAACGAUGAGUGCUAGACGUUGGGGCAUUUAAUGUCGCAGUGUCGAAGCUAACGCGUUAAGCACUCCGCCUGGGGAGUACGGCCGCAAGGUUAAAACUCAAAGGAAUUGACGGGG
This 518-nucleotide ribosomal RNA is filed under the name Tistrella bauzanensis. RNAcentral's name for it is "bacterial SSU rRNA". It matches the Rfam family "Bacterial small subunit ribosomal RNA", at positions 383 to 918 of the family's 1533-position model. Lineage: Bacteria; Pseudomonadati; Pseudomonadota; Alphaproteobacteria; Geminicoccales; Geminicoccaceae. The record is from RNAcentral.